AAAGGGGCCGCCGCCUUGGGCCGGAGUUGCCCUUUCCAAAAGGCUGGUCUUGUUUGAACCUCAGGGUCUUGCAAAAAUAGGCCUGGCCUUGAAUGUGAUUCUCCUUCCUCAGCCUGCCGGGUUGCUGAGAUUACAGCACACCACACCACAGCCCAGAUGUGGGAACGACCCAAGCUCCUGUAAGCGGUAAGUGGAUGGAUGGACACACAGCAUGGGAUAUGCUCACCUAGAGGGUCACUUGGCCAGGAGCAGAAGCAAGGUGACACGCUGCACCAUGGAUGGACCUCGAGAACCUUGUGCUCUGUGAGAACCAGAGACUAAAGGACACAGGACAGGGUCUUGCUGAGUUGCCCAGGCUUGUCUUGAACGUGUGAUCCUUCUGYAUCAGCCUCCCAAGUUGCUGGGAUGACAG
This is a long non-coding RNA of Urocitellus parryii (Arctic ground squirrel), 412 nucleotides long. RefSeq lists it as uncharacterized. The record is from RefSeq and is a predicted model, not a curated record. NCBI's taxonomy places the organism in Eukaryota, Metazoa, Chordata, Mammalia, Rodentia, Sciuridae.